Long non-coding RNA from Salvia miltiorrhiza (redroot sage), 1284 nucleotides. RefSeq lists it as uncharacterized. Lineage: Eukaryota; Viridiplantae; Streptophyta; Magnoliopsida; Lamiales; Lamiaceae. The transcript is spliced from 3 exons. The record is from RefSeq and is a predicted model, not a curated record.
GUCCAGAGGCUGCCAGUCGGUCGACAGCCAUGGCCACCGCCGAUCCGGUUGGUGUUGCUCCGAUCUGCUCCGAAUUUCCUCCACUUCCGUCCGCCAUUUUCCCUUUCGCAACCUUGGAAUUGUUUUCCCACCACUCCGGUGUUCCCGGAGCGUGGUGGGUUGCCUCGGCCGGCGGCGAUGUGUGGCGGCCGGGAUAUAGACUGUUGGGUAUGGUGGUGAACGGUGGCGAGGCCGGUUCCAAUCCCUCCCGAUGAUGAUGCGUUGAUGUCGGAAUGGUUGGUUGCCGGCUGCAAAAUUUGUAGCCGGGCGGCCUCCCUUCUAACUUUUGAGAAAGCCGACUCCGCUGAGGGAGCCGGGGUUUCCUUGAGGAUAUCCCGACGGACGUUGUCGUAUUUUGUAUCUAAUCCGGAGAGGAAUUGGUACAACCGCCGAUUUCCGAUCAGUUUCUGGUAUUUGGUGAUGCCUUCUUCACAACAGCCCAACGGAUUCGGCUCCCUCCUGUCGAUAUUGAGCCAUAUGGUUUGUAAUUCGUUCCAAUAUUCCUCUAGAGUGAGUUGCCCCUGAUUCACCUUAUUCGCUUUUACUUCGUUCCAAUAUUCCUCUAGAGUGAGUUGCCCCUGAUUCACCUUAUUCGCUUUUACUUCCAAGUCGUAAAUUUGGAGUGGAUCUGUGGCUCCACUCCCAUAGGUUACUGCUAAGCUAUCCCACACGGCUUUGGCUGUUUGAUGUUGGGAAAAAUUCAUUACUAAUUUCCCGUCCAUAUUCUGUAAUAGCCAGCAAAAAACGGUCAAAUCCGUUUCUUCCCAUUUGUAGUAAUUGGGAUCUGUGGUGUCGGGAGGUGGUGGUUGUCCGGUAAUGUGUCUGGUUCUGCCUCUACUGCCUAUGGCUACCUUCAUGAGGCGUGACCAUAGUGGAUAGUUGUUGCCAUCUAGCUUGAAUCCGAGCACGAUGUUGUCGGAGUUUCGCAUCAUAUUGGCGAUUUGUUGGGGAAAAAAAAGAAAAAAAUGACAGUUGACUGCCUUGGUUUGAAAGGUUGGAGAUAUGGUAAUGGAACAAUGAUGUUUUUUUCUGAGUUCCAAGGAUUAAACUUGCUCUGAUAAUGCAGAGAAAAAUAAAGAGAAGUCAAUGGUUGUUAUUGUAUUUCUUAUAUUUCUCAUUACAAUCAUCCCUUUUAUAGUGUAAGUGUACGCUUGAAGAGGAGAUGACAGUCAAUAUUACACUUCUACAAAGUCAUACAUACAAAGUCAUACAAGGAUAUCCCUAUGAUUAAGGGAUUUUGGUUAA